GCUGACAUAGCUCAGUUGGUAGAGCACAUCACUCGUAAUGAUGGGGUCGCAGGUUCAAAUCCUGUUGUCAGCA
This 73-nucleotide transfer RNA is filed under the name Seinonella peptonophila. It matches the Rfam family "tRNA". From Rfam's summary of the family: Transfer RNA (tRNA) molecules are approximately 80 nucleotides in length. Their secondary structure includes four short double-helical elements and three loops (D, anti-codon, and T loops). The record is from Rfam by way of RNAcentral. Lineage: Bacteria; Bacillati; Bacillota; Bacilli; Caryophanales; Thermoactinomycetaceae.